Molecule: small RNA, 810 nt
Filed under: Rattus norvegicus (Norway rat)
Lineage: Eukaryota; Metazoa; Chordata; Mammalia; Rodentia; Muridae
Description: uncharacterized LOC102546403
Source: RNAcentral
GGGGUGGGGGGGGAUGUCAUUGCUUGUGCUGGGACCACUGUGCCCCCUAACUGUGACCAGCUGCUUCAGGCUGCUUCUGCUUUCACCCACUGCCGUGAUGGUGUGAGAUGGCCUCAGAAGCCAGGAGAGUGCUGGGCUCCUUGGAAGUGGAAUAAAGAAGCUAUGACCCACCGUAUGGAUUUCAGUGCUCCUGUCUUCCGUCGGUGAACUCCCCACACAGGGCCUCCCAGGAAGAGUGCAGCCUGGAGAGACUGCUGCUCAGAAGCCGAGGAAGGAAGUGGCGAUAUUCCAUUGGACAGGAUGAGUCACAUGGGCCUAACCACCGAAGAGUCAGGGACCAGAAUUUCCACGGACUCUAAUUCUAGGUCCUGAAAGGUAAGGAAAACUGGACAUUGGAGAGAUUGUGACUCGAUGACGCUUGAUAAAAGAAACUUUAGGGAGAAAUGACUCAGCAGUACGAGCGUGGACCUCUCUUGCUUAAGACCCAAGUUCAGUUCCCUGCACCCAAGUCUGCUCACAACCAAGCCUAACUCCAGUUCCAGGACCCAGGGCGCCCUCCUUCUACCCGCUGAAGGCACCAGGCCCAGAUGUGCUGCACAGAUGCACAAGCAGAACUCUCCGGACACCGAAGUGUGCUGUCUCAGGACACCAAGGGGAUGUGACAAUCAGUUCUGACGCCAUCUACCUAAAGUCGAAGAUGAAAAUAACACCCAAUUAAUGAAACCUAUUAAAUGAGUAGCUAUAUACAGGUUUUUAUUACAGCAUCCCACCAAUAAAUGCUCUACCAAUGACUAUACUUUGACUGCUAAA